This 308-nucleotide ribosomal RNA is filed under the name uncultured bacterium. Its description in RNAcentral is "bacterial SSU rRNA". It matches the Rfam family "Bacterial small subunit ribosomal RNA", at positions 120 to 444 of the family's 1533-position model. The record is from RNAcentral.
GGGAAUCUGCCUUUUGGUUUGGAAUAACACGGGGAAACCUGUGCUAAUACCGGAUAAGCCUUUACAGGGAAAGUUUUAACGCCGAAAGAUGAGCCUGCACUUGAUUAGCUAGUUGGUAAGGUAAAAGCUUACCAAGGCAACGAUCAAUAGCUGUUCUUAGAGGAAGACCAGCCACAUUGGGACUGAGACACGGCCCAGACUCCUACGGGAGGCAGCAGUGGGGAAUCUUGCACAAUGGGGGAAACCCUGAUGCAACGAUGCCGCGUGAGUGAAGAAGGCCCUUGGGUUGUAAAACUCUUUCGUCGGGG